Molecule: ribosomal RNA, 211 nt
Filed under: uncultured bacterium
Lineage: Bacteria
Description: partial 16S ribosomal RNA
Rfam family: Bacterial small subunit ribosomal RNA
Source: RNAcentral
AGUAACUACUGGAAACGGUAGCUAAUACCGCAUAACGUCGCAAGACCAAAGAGGGGGACCUUCGGGCCUCUUGCCAUCAGAUGUGCCCAGAUGGGAUUAGCUAGUAGGUGGGGUAACGGCUCACCUAGGUGACGAUCCCUAGCUGGUCUGAGAGGAUGACCAGCCACACUGGAACUGAGACACGGUCCAGACUCCUACGGGAGGCAGCAUG